UACGAGACUGUUCUCUUUGAGGCCGGUCAUCGGAAUGGGUACAAUUUAAACCCUUUAACGAGUAUCAAGCAGAGGGCAAGUCUGGUGCCAGCAGCCGCGGUAAUUCCAGCUCUGCUAAUACAUAGAAUUAUUGCUGCGGUUAAAAAGCUCGUAGUUGGAUUCGUAUCGGUAUCCUGGAACCCUCCGGGUGUUUCUGGGUGUUAUCGAUUUAUCGUAAUGUUCGGUUUUGAGUCCUUAACAGGAUUCUUAACAGGCAUUGCAAGUUUACUUUGAACAAAUCAGAGUGCUUCAAACAGGCGUUUUCGCUUGAAUGAUCGUGCAUGGAAUAAUAGAAAACGAUUUCGGUUCAGUUUUAUUGGUUUUACGGACUGAGAUAAUGGUUAACAGAGACAAACGGGGGCAUUUGUAUGGCCCCGUGAGAGGUGAAAUUCUUGGACCGUGGCCAGACAAACUACAGCGAAAGCAUUUGCCAAGAAUGUUUUUAUUAAUCAAGAACGAAAGUCAGAGGUUCGAAGGCGAUCAGAUACCGCCCUAGUUCUGACCGUAAACGAUGCCAACUAGCGAUCCGCCGAUGGAAAUUAUAUUGCCUUGGUGGGGAGCUUCCCGGAAACGAAAGUCUUCCGGUUCCGGGGGAAGUAUGGUUGCAAAGCUGAAACUUAAAGGAAUUGACGGAAGGGCACCACCAGGAGUGGAGCCUGCGG
RNAcentral lists this ribosomal RNA (701 nucleotides) under Meloidogyne ethiopica. RNAcentral describes it as "SSU rRNA". It matches the Rfam family "Eukaryotic small subunit ribosomal RNA", at positions 477 to 1188 of the family's 1831-position model. Lineage: Eukaryota; Metazoa; Nematoda; Chromadorea; Rhabditida; Meloidogynidae. The record is from RNAcentral.